AGUGAACGCUGGCGGUAGGCCUAACACAUGCAAGUCGAACGGCAGCACAGUAAGAGCUUGCUCUUACGGGUGGCGAGUGGCGGACGGGUGAGGAAUACAUCGGAAUCUACUUUUUCGUGGGGGAUAACGUAGGGAAACUUACGCUAAUACCGCAUACGACCUACGGGUGAAAGCAGGGGAUCUUCGGGCCUUGCGCGAUUGAAUGAGCCGAUGUCGGAUUAGCUAGUUGGCGGGGUAAAGGCCCACCAAGGCGACGAUCCGUAGCUGGUCUGAGAGGAUGAUCAGCCACACUGGAACUGAGACACGGUCCAGACUCCUACGGGAGGCAGCAGUGGGGAAUAUUGGACAAUGGGCGCAAGCCUGAUCCAGCCAUACCGCGUGGGUGAAGAAGGCCUUCGGGUUGUAAAGCCCUCUUGUUGGGAAAGAAAAGCAGCAGGUUAAUACCCCGCUGUUCUGACGGUACCCAAAGAAUAAGCACCGGCUAACUUCGUG
RNAcentral lists this ribosomal RNA (492 nucleotides) under uncultured bacterium. RNAcentral's name for it is "partial 16S ribosomal RNA". It matches the Rfam family "Bacterial small subunit ribosomal RNA", at positions 29 to 507 of the family's 1533-position model. The record is from RNAcentral.